Molecule: ribosomal RNA, 467 nt
Filed under: uncultured bacterium
Lineage: Bacteria
Description: partial 16S ribosomal RNA
Rfam family: Bacterial small subunit ribosomal RNA
Source: RNAcentral
GACGAACGCUGGCGGCGUGCUUAACACAUGCAAGUCGAACGGAAAGGCCCUGCUUUGUGGGGUUCUCGAGUGGCGAACGGGUGAGUAACACGGGAGUAACCUGCCCCUGACUUUGGGAUAACUUUAGGAAACUGGGGCUAAUACCGGAUAGGAGCUCCUGCUGCAUGGUGGGGGUUGGAAAGUUUCGGCGGUUGGGGAUGGACUCGCGGCUUAUCAGCUUGUUGGUGGGGUAGUGGCUUACCAAGGCUUUGACGGGUAGCCGGCCUGAGAGGGUGACCGGCCACAUUGGGACUGAGAUACGGCCCAGACUCCUACGGGAGGCAGCAGUGGGGAAUAUUGCACAAUGGGCGGAAGCCUGAUGCAGCAACGCCGCGUGCGGGAUGACGGCCUUCGGGUUGUAAACCGCUUUCGCCUGUGACGAAGCGUGAGUGACGGUAAUGGGUAAAGAAGCACCGGCUAACUACGUG